CUAUACAUUACAUCAACUAAUAAACUUAGAAACUUAAGAAAACACCGAAUAACAUACUCCUGGAAUGGAACAGGUACACGAAGAAAAGAGUUAAACAUGCAAAUAAAGAUAAAAUUGAGAAUUGAUACGGAGAAUAUGUGAGAGAGACAACAACCCUACCAAAGAAUAGAAAAAAGCCCAAAUCAACCAUUGAGUCUUCAAC
RNAcentral lists this long non-coding RNA (202 nucleotides) under Mytilus galloprovincialis (Mediterranean mussel). The record is from RNAcentral. Lineage: Eukaryota; Metazoa; Mollusca; Bivalvia; Mytilida; Mytilidae.